UCCAUCUCUGGAAGUUAGCAAUCGCAAGUGUGUCAGAGAGGCAGAGACAGUUACAGUUAGGGAAUUGGAUAUGACUACAUUGACAGCAUCCAGCAGGUGUCUGCUCUCUUCCUAUCGUCAGGCUGCAGCUGUUUGCAUCUGCCAACAUUUUCCUGUCUUGCUGGGGUUUAUAAAAGCACAUGGGAGGGAGCUAAACAAGGAGGGGUUGUUCAAUCACAAAUGGAACAGAGGUGAACCUGUGACUAUCUAAAGUACACAAAUAAACUGUGAGUGAAGUAUUUCACUAAGCAUUUG
Trichomycterus rosablanca is the source of this 294-nucleotide long non-coding RNA. RefSeq lists it as uncharacterized. The record is from RefSeq and is a predicted model, not a curated record. The transcript is spliced from 3 exons. NCBI's taxonomy places the organism in Eukaryota, Metazoa, Chordata, Actinopteri, Siluriformes, Trichomycteridae.